This 466-nucleotide ribosomal RNA is filed under the name uncultured bacterium. RNAcentral's name for it is "partial 16S ribosomal RNA". It matches the Rfam family "Bacterial small subunit ribosomal RNA", at positions 28 to 505 of the family's 1533-position model. The record is from RNAcentral.
GACGAACGCUGGCGGCGUGCUUAACACAUGCAAGUCGAACGGAAAGGCCCUGCUUUUGUGGGGUGCUCGAGUGGCGAACGGGUGAGUAACACGUGAGUAACCUGCCCUUGACUUUGGGAUAACUUCAGGAAACUGGGGCUAAUACCGGAUAGGAGCUCCUGCUGCAUGGUGGGGGUUGGAAAGUUUCGGCGGUUGGGGAUGGACUCGCGGCUUAUCAGCUUGUUGGUGGGGUAGUGGCUUACCAAGGCUUUGACGGGUAGCCGGCCUGAGAGGGUGACCGGCCACAUUGGGACUGAGAUACGGCCCAGACUCCUACGGGAGGCAGCAGGGGGGAAUAUUGCACAAUGGGCGGAAGCCUGAUGCAGCAACGCCGCGUGCGGGAUGACGGCCUUCGGGUUGUAAACCGCUUUCGCCUGGGACGAAGCGUGAGUGACGGGAAUGGGUAAAGAAGCACCGGCUAACUACG